This 298-nucleotide long non-coding RNA is filed under the name Helianthus annuus (common sunflower). Its description in RNAcentral is "hypothetical non coding rna". Lineage: Eukaryota; Viridiplantae; Streptophyta; Magnoliopsida; Asterales; Asteraceae. The record is from RNAcentral.
UCUUAGGUUUGCUAUAGAUGUCGUUUAUUUGGGUUACAUCUUUCAUGUUUUGAUUAAGGGGUCUUCAUGUUUUAAUGUCUGAUUGGCUUACUAAAUUGGGAUUCCAACUCAACUAUAGUGUGUAAUUACUGGACUGUAGUCACGUGCAGUGAAGAUGGGUCACGUGUCAUUGGUUUCCGGCUUCCUGGAGUUGGGUUUCACGGCUAGCUUCUAGCAAACAUCAUUAGCAAACUCUUAGUCUUAGCUUUGCAGAACUUGAGCUUCAUAUCUAAUGCUAUAUUGAGAGUCUGGAGAGAGG